This 486-nucleotide ribosomal RNA is filed under the name uncultured bacterium. Its description in RNAcentral is "partial 16S ribosomal RNA". It matches the Rfam family "Bacterial small subunit ribosomal RNA", at positions 31 to 507 of the family's 1533-position model. The record is from RNAcentral.
AGGGAAAGCUGGCGGCAUGCCUUACACAUGCAAGUCGAACGGCAGCACGGGUGCUUGCACCUGGUGGCGAGUGGCGAACGGGUGAGUAAUACAUCGGAACAUGUCCUGUAGUGGGGGAUAGCCCGGCGAAAGCCGGAUUAAUACCGCAUACGAUCCACGGAUGAAAGCGGGGGACCUUCGGGCCUCGCGCUAUAGGGUUGGCCGAUGGCUGAUUAGCUAGUUGGUGGGGUAAAGGCCUACCAAGGCGACGAUCAGUAGCUGGUCUGAGAGGACGACCAGCCACACUGGGACUGAGACACGGCCCAGACUCCUACGGGAGGCAGCAGUGGGGAAUUUUGGACAAUGGGCGAAAGCCUGAUCCAGCAAUGCCGCGUGUGUGAAGAAGGCCUUCGGGUUGUAAAGCACUUUUGUCCGGAAAGAAAUCCUUGACUCUAAUACAGUCGGGGGAUGACGGUACCGGAAGAAUAAGCACCGGCUAACUACGUG